AGAGUUGAUCCUGGCUAGGACGAACGCUGGCGGCGUGCCUAACACAUGCAAGUCGAGCGAGGAGAUCCUCGGGAUGAUCCUAGCGGCGGACGGGUGAGUAACACGUGGGCAACCUGCCUCAUAGAGAGGAAUAGCCUUCCGAAAGGGAGAUUAAUACCUCAUAACAUUGCAGUUUCGCAUGAAACAGCAAUUAAAGGAGCAAUCCGCUAUGAGAUGGGCCCCGCGGCGCAUUAGCUAGUUGGUGAGGUAACGGCUCACCAAGGCGACGAUGCGUAGCCGACCUGAGAGGGUGAUCGGCCACAUUGGGACUGAGACACGGCCCAGACUCCUACGGGAGGCAGCAGUGGGGAAUAUUGCACAAUGGGGGAAACCCUGAUGCAAGCAACGCCGCGUGAGUGAUGACGGCCUUCGGGUUGUAAAGCUCUGUCUUCAGGGACGAUAAUGACGGUACCUGAGGAGGAAGCCACGGCUAACUACGUGCCAGCCGCUGC
This 491-nucleotide ribosomal RNA is filed under the name uncultured bacterium. RNAcentral's name for it is "bacterial SSU rRNA". It matches the Rfam family "Bacterial small subunit ribosomal RNA", at positions 9 to 518 of the family's 1533-position model. The record is from RNAcentral.